This 252-nucleotide long non-coding RNA is filed under the name Chinchilla lanigera (long-tailed chinchilla). Its description in RNAcentral is "lncRNA (ENSCLAG00000022419.1)". Lineage: Eukaryota; Metazoa; Chordata; Mammalia; Rodentia; Chinchillidae. The record is from RNAcentral.
AUGUCGUCCUCCCUUAAAUAUUUAGGUGUUUUUGUUCACAUCACGAGUGUCAACCGUGUUACUAUUUCUGCUGCUGCAACUGAGUUUCCCACCGAAACUGCAGAAAGUACUUACUCUGUCUUUACUGUGGCAUACAUAGUGAGGCUCUCAAGUGUACUGAAUCAUGCAGGCCUGCCUAUUUUUUCUUUCUUUCUUUCUUUCUUUCUUUCUUUUUCAUUCAUACAUUCAUUCAUUCCUUCACUCAUUCAAUAA